Molecule: non-coding RNA, 118 nt
Organism: Tinamus guttatus (white-throated tinamou)
Lineage: Eukaryota; Metazoa; Chordata; Aves; Tinamiformes; Tinamidae
Source: RefSeq, a predicted model, not a curated record
AGAAAUAUUAUUCAAAAAAGGAAGCAACUUUUAUACUUUCUCCUGUAAAUACUGUGACAGAGUGAAGUGCUUUUUCUUUCCGAUUUUUUUCUCCCUGUAAAUAAAUUUAUUUUGCUUU